Zingiber officinale is the source of this 3775-nucleotide RNA transcript. It is a transcript of the gene named tubulin gamma-2 chain-like, with no coding region annotated. The transcript is spliced from 10 exons. The record is from RefSeq and is a predicted model, not a curated record. Lineage: Eukaryota; Viridiplantae; Streptophyta; Magnoliopsida; Zingiberales; Zingiberaceae.
CAGCUACAUGAAAGCUUGCAAAGAAUACGUGAAAGAAAGGUCGUUAAUUUUAUUGAUUGGGGAUCAGGCUAGCAUUCAGGUUGCAUUUUCUAGAAAAUCACCAUACAUCUAAACUACUCAUCGGGGCAAACAACUUAGGCUCCUAUGAAGUUUCGUUUGCUCUCCAUUUCCACGUGGUCAAAUUGGUCAUCGUCGGCCUCUCAGGAUGCCACUUCUCUCAGGGUGAACAAGUUGUAGAUGAUAUCAUGGAUAUGGUUGACAGAGAAGCUGAUGGAAGUGAUAGUCUUGAAGGAUUUGUAUUAUGGCACUCGAUUUCUGGAGGAACAGGUUCAGGUACAUGAAAGCUUGCAAAGAAUACGUGAAAGAAAGCUUGUUAAUUUUAUUGAGUAGGGACCAGGCUAGCAUUCAGGUUGCAUUUUCUAGAAAAUCACCGUACAUCUAAACUACUCAUCGGGGUGAACAAGUUGUAGAUGAUAUCAUGGAUAUGGUUGACAGAGAAGCUGAUGGAAGUGAUUGUCUUGAAGGAUUUGUAUUAUGGCACUCGAUUUCUGGAGGAACAGGUUCAGGUACAUGAAAGCUUGCAAAGAAUACGUGAAAGAAAGCUUGUUAAUUUUAUUGAGUGGGGACCAGGCUAGCAUUCAGGUUGCAUUUUCUAGAAAAUCACCAUACAUCUAAACUACUCAACGGGUACAACUACUUGCUUGUUACAUAGUGUGUAGAUAAAUGAGUUAAGCAGGGUCUGCAUUGCAUUUCUCGAAAGUUAAUGCCUUUUGUUCAAAAUUGAUAACUUCUAACACCGAACAGAAAUCAAAAUCUCUUGAUCUGAAAAGGAUUUCCAAAGAUAUAUGAAGAAACUGCAUGAAAUGUACUUACUGUCCAACCCAAGUAACAAACCAAUGAUUGUCAUGAUAUAGAUGAAUACAUGUGCAAAUUCAGUUGAUAUGAUAUUUUACUAUGAUGUAUGAAAAGCCAAGUUAACUCUAUGAAGGAGCUCCCUAACUUUCUACACGUUCAUCCCGGUAAGUGGUCUAAUGCUUGCGAACCACACUAGCAUUCGACACCUUUUCAGCAAAUGCCUGGGUCACAAUUACUCAAAUCAUACCUCAAUUGUUCUCCAUGGUACGCUUAACUCCAAUUUAAGAUAAUUCUAAUUCAAAUCAAUUGUUGGAACGAUAUUUUUUAAUGCCACUAUGCCAGCAAGCCUUCUGUCAAAGAAGGGAAACACCAAUUUCAGAAUUAAUAUUGUUUUUUUAUAAAUAAUUUGUAUUAUCUCAUUUUGUAUUCUUCCUCUUGUAUAUCAAUCUUUUUCAACAAUGUAAGUUAAAAAAAUAAAUAAAUUAUCAAUGAAUCAUCAGAAAAGUGUAAGAAAAUUGUCAGGCAUAACUUCACCAUGUGUCGCAAUGUGUUGGAAGGAACCAUGUCUCCUCGGGAUGGUCUUGUGGCUAGCACAUGAGGUGUUACCACUAUGAGGUUUGGGGUUUGAAUUUUAGUAAAAUCGAGGUAAAUGUCUUAUUUAUGUGCUAGUCACUAUUCCAAAGGCUAGUAGCCGUCUGUGAUUUGCCUCCUCAUUGUUGGUCCUGCAACUGAUUGAUAGGGGUAUUGGGGUUGAUCGUAUUCGGCUUUUGUCACCGUGUUGGUAGGAACUAGCAAUAUCUGGCGGUGGGUUGAAAUACAUGUGGUUGAGUCAUAAGUUUGGGAAAAACUGGACAACAUCUUAAUUCGGAGUUUCCAAGUGGAAGAAGGAAAGGAGAAAUAAAAAGAAAAGUUUCAUACGGGGUGGGGUGAGUUGAGAACAUCAGUAAACUCAGAGAAGAGGGAAAACUUAAGAGAAAUAUUUAACAUGUUUUUUAAAGACAUGUCAUAUCCUUUAGAUAAUUAAAAAGUAUCAAAUGUCUAUAUAUAUAUAUUUUUUAAAAAAGGGUAAAAAUCAAGGGCGUAAAUCAAAAGGUAUCCUUUUAUUUCUUAAUCAUCAUAUAGGCAUUUCAUUUUUAUUUAUUUUUAAUCAAAGGAUAUUCCACUCUACCAACUCUGUCCAUAAAUUGUUUAUACCUUUCGGUACACUGCUCACUUUUGACAUAUUAAAUCCUGACAUAAUGAUUUCGUAGCUGUUACAAUUAUAAUAGUUGUGACAGUUACGAUUUCAUAGUUAUUAUAACAGUAAGUUGAAUCGUGUUAUAGUAGCUAUGAAACUAUAGUUGCUACAAUUUGUAUAUUUUUUAACGUUAAGUAUGUUAGACGCAUUGUAAUAGUUUUGAAAUUAUAGUUGCUAUAACAUGUAUAGCAACUACGAUUUUGUAGUUGUUAUAUAACGCGCCCAAUCGGUUUAAAAAUCAGGCGGGAAAUAACAACACUGAACAAGACACUAUUAGAGGACAUUUGAGUAAAUGUACAUGAUAGAAUAGUGAGGUGGUGUGCUUGUUUGAUAAAAAAAAUUAAAGUGAGAAACCCCUUUGAUGAUUCAAAGAAGUGCUUCACGUUGAUUUUUUUUAUUGAAAGGACAUUCUACCCCAUAUAAAAUGACACAACUGUCUUCUACUACAUUGUUUCCAUUAUUAUCUCUAGUAUAAAUCUUGAAAUUGGGGGUGUGUUGUAGUCGCUAUGGUUUCGUAGCUGCCAUACAGAUGUAAUAACUAUGGUUUUGUAGGUAUUAUAUAGUUGUAGCAAUUAUAAUUUCAUAACUACUACAACAUGAAUGGUAGGUGAACAUAGUUGAAUUUGUAUUAUCGAUUAAGAUUGACUAUGCAAAUCAAAAUGGAAUUUUCCUAUAUAUUUUGCAUCCAAAUAAGUGCCUCAUCAGCAAAAUUCAAAAAAAUAAAAGUAAAAUAACUACAAUGAAUAGAAUUAAAUAUAUAGAGAAGUAUAAUGACAAAGAGAAAAAAAACAAUUAAAAAGUCAAAGCACCUAUCAUAAAACUAUAGCUAUUACUAACCGUAACUACUACAACAUAUCUAAUUAAUUUAGAAAUUAAAUGAGAAAAUAGUAUUAAAUAGUAUUAAAGAAUAAUUGUGUAAUGAUACAUACAAGAGUGAGAUAUGACGCUCUUAUGAUAAACCAUCAAAAUUGAAAUGUCCCAUGAUUUGGCAAAAACAAAGGGUCUUGAUUUUUACCCAAAAUAAAUAAGAUACUUUUUUUUUAAAAAAAAAUGCCAUUUUUUCAACUGAAUUAGUUGAUUAGUUUUAGUCAAUGGGUGAGAUUAAUUUUGCUUAGAUCCAACCGCCCGUCAUUUUACGGUGUACGACAAACAUCUUAGGCUCCUAUGAAGUUUCAUUCGUUCUCCAUUUCCACGCGGGCAAAUUGGUCUUCGUCGGCCUCUUAGGACGCCACUUUUCUCAGGGUUCCGGUUCUCGACGGAUUUGGUUGCGGAGAGGGGAUUGGAGUGGAGGAUGUCGAUGCAUGAGAGGAAGACGAUCGAUUUGGACAGAAUCAGGAUCAUCUAUGACAUAUGAACCAUAAAAUGGCCAUGAAAUUGUUGCUCCUUUGUUCAGCAUGUUCAGAUCCAUUCUUGUAGUAGGAUUUUUUUCCCCUUUUUAUUCUACAGUCCUUUUAUAGGAUAAAUACUAAUUGUCAUAGCAUUUUUAGAGUUGUUAUCCUAAACUAUAAAUCCUAAACUUUGACUAAAUUGAAAUAUGAAUUUUUUGAAGGGGAGUCUUGGCGCAACGGUAAAGUUGUUUAUUUGUGACAUAAAGGUAUCAGACUCGAAUCUUGAAAACAGCCUUUUGCAAAAAGCAGGAUAAGACCGUCUACAGUGGAUCUGUCCCCGGGAUUCCGCAUGGCG